Molecule: ribosomal RNA, 468 nt
Filed under: uncultured bacterium
Lineage: Bacteria
Description: partial 16S ribosomal RNA
Rfam family: Bacterial small subunit ribosomal RNA
Source: RNAcentral
GACGAACGCUGGCGGCGUGCUUAACACAUGCAAGUCGAACGGAAAGGCCCUGCUUUGGGGGGGUGCUCGAGUGGCGAACGGGUGAGUAACACGUGAGUAACCUGCCCUUGACUUUGGGAUAACUUCAGGAAACUGGGGCUAAUACCGGAUAGGAGCUCCUGCUGCAUGGUGGGGGUUGGAAAGUUUCGGCGGUUGGGGAUGGACUCGCGGCUUAUCAGCUUGUUGGUGGGGUAGUGGCUUACCAAGGCUUUGACGGGUAGCCGGCCUGAGAGGGUGACCGGCCACAUUGGGACUGAGAUACGGCCCAGACUCCUACGGGAGGCAGCAGUGGGGAAUAUUGCACAAUGGGCGGAAGCCUGAUGCAGCAACGCCGCGUGCGGGAUGACGGCCUUCGGGUUGUAAACCGCUUUCGCCUGUGACGAAGCGUGAGUGACGGUAAUGGGUAAAGAAGCACCGGCUAACUACGUG